Molecule: ribosomal RNA, 465 nt
Filed under: uncultured bacterium
Lineage: Bacteria
Description: partial 16S ribosomal RNA
Rfam family: Bacterial small subunit ribosomal RNA
Source: RNAcentral
CCUACGGGAGGCUGCAGUAGGGAAUCUUCCACAAUGGACGAAAGUCUGAUGGAGCAACGCCGCGUGAGUGAAGAAGGGUUUCGGCUCGUAAAGCUCUGUUGGUAGUGAAGAAAGAUAGAGGUAGUAACUGUCCUUUAUUUGACGGUAAUUACUUAGAAAGUCACGGCUAACUACGUGCCAGCAGCCGCGGUAAUACGUAGGUGGCAAGCGUUGUCCGGAUUUAUUGGGCGUAAAGCGCGUGCAGGCGGUUCAAUAAGUCUGAUGUGAAAGCCUUCGGCUCAACCGGAGAAUUGCAUCAGAAACUGUUGAACUGGAGUGCAGAAGAGGAGAGUGGAACUCCAUGUGUAGCGGUGGAAUGCGUAGAUAUAUGGAAGAACACCAGUGGCGAAGGCGGCUCUCUGGUCUGCAACUGACGCUGAGGCUCGAAAGCAUGGGUAGCGAACAGGAUUAGAUACCCUUGUAGUC